CUGGCAAAUAAAAGAAUGAUUUCGCCUAAAUUUUUAAAUAAAUAAUCCAUGGUACUGCACACUGCUUAAUCUGUGGUAACUCACUGUUAGGUACAUUGCUACAUAUUCGUUCGGACUUCAAGAACUCACUGAGAUCUAGCUACCAAAGCACUUGUACACAAAUAAGUGGCUAUAAUAUUUCUUCAUGAAUAUUAUUUAUUAUUUGUAUUACUGUAGCACCAGGAGCCUAAGUCAGGGGCCGGGAUGCCAUUGUGUUGGGUGAAUGUACAAGCACAAAACAAAAAGACUGAUGCUGUUACUGGUACUGUUGCUUCUUACUUAUGUAGUACUUUUCAUCUGUAAAUCUCAUAGUGGUUUACAGAAGAGGGUAAGUACCAUUCUCCUACUUUCAUAGAGUGAGGGAAAUGAAGAGUAGUGAGGUUUUAAGGGCUUGAUUUUUUACCCAUUAAAGUCACUGAUAAAAUGCCCACCCACUGAGUUCAGCUUUGCAAGGUCAGUCACCAAGUGACUUGACCAAGAUCAGUUACUACUGUUUCAGAUGUGUAAAAGCAACACUUCUCUAAAGCACAAAGACUAAUUUUUCUUCUUAACCAGGUACCUCAGGAAUAUGGACCUUGAAAAAGUCAGACAACUGAGCAAAAUCAAGGAGCCCAAAGCACCCCCACCAUAGCCGCCCGAGGACAGCUACACAGGCCGCUGCUGGAGCGGCUUCGCAGCCAGCCACACCCAUCAGCUUUGGUGACACCUGGCCAGGGCAUCAACUUGCCCUUUGUCUUUGAGAAACAGGUUUAACCACUCUCAAGAUGCAGGCUCCCAGCAGGCAACAUACUUCCUGGGACAUCAUCAUGCUGGGUCACUACGUGAAUGCCUCCAUCCCCCUCAGAAGGGAGCCCCUGGCCACCAGCACCUUAUGCCUCCUCCUCUUGGGUGUGGUGGCUGCGAACCUCCCAGCCUUCGAGACAAGUGGAUCUUCCCCCUCAGCCACUGGCAUCUGCUCCCCUCCUCAUGUUGCCAGUACAGCAUACUGGUUCUUGAAUGCAAUGGAUGGGGGACUGAUCUGCGGGUGGGAGGGUGGAGCCCUGUCUACACUCUCAGCUGGCUAACAGCCAUUCCUUUCCCCGCAGAGCAGUCAGUUGUUCUUCCUCCUCUGUUGCUUCUGUAGUUGGCUGGCAUCCUCCAUUCAAGAUGCUUCCAUGUGCAUCCUGUUGAUGAAGUCCUCAUGCUCCUGGAUGCUAUGCAGACAAGACAGCUCCUCCUGCAGCUUUCUUACCUCUUCCUGAGGGACUCCACUGACAGACACCUCUCACAUGGGGUGGUUUCCCCCUGCCUGGCUUUCUCCGGCAGGGACAUGCAGGCUGCAGUCACAGCAAGUCAAGAUCAGGGCCUGGGUGGAAACCUCCAGUAGUUUUGUGAGUUAGCUUCCACCAACAAUGUUUUAUAGCAUUAAAUUGUGAGCAGAGGCCACUCGAGACUGCCCUACACACAACUUCAGAGUGCCACCCGCCUCCUCACAAGCCUAGGACAGCAGAUUUGGUCCAGCCACCCCUGCAUCAUGACAGAGGAGCGGAUGGGCAAAAUCUGCCUACUUUGCCUAUAGGUAGAGCUGCCCC
Mauremys reevesii (Reeves's turtle) is the source of this 1610-nucleotide long non-coding RNA. RefSeq lists it as uncharacterized. The transcript has 3 exons. The record is from RefSeq and is a predicted model, not a curated record. Lineage: Eukaryota; Metazoa; Chordata; Testudines; Geoemydidae.